RNAcentral lists this transfer RNA (70 nucleotides) under Etrocorema hochii. RNAcentral describes it as "tRNA-Cys". The record is from RNAcentral. Lineage: Eukaryota; Metazoa; Arthropoda; Insecta; Plecoptera; Perlidae.
GGCCUUAUAGUCAUUAAUGAUAUUGGAUUGCAAAUCUAAGGGAGUAGAAUUUGAGUUUCUUCUAAGGCUU